This 386-nucleotide ribosomal RNA is filed under the name uncultured bacterium. RNAcentral's name for it is "bacterial SSU rRNA". It matches the Rfam family "Bacterial small subunit ribosomal RNA", at positions 28 to 405 of the family's 1533-position model. The record is from RNAcentral.
GAUGAACGCUAGCGGCAGGCUUAAUACAUGCAAGUCGAGGGGCAGCAGCUCUGUAGCAAUACAGAGGCUGGCGGCCGGCAAACGGGUGCGGAACACGUACGCAACUUACCCAUAACUGGUGAAUAGCCCUCCGAAAGGAGGAUUAAUACAUCGUAACAUAAUGAGAUGGCAUCAUUUUAUUAUUAUAGCUCUCGGGGCGGUUAUGGAUGGGCGUGCGGCUGAUUAGGUAGUUGGCGGAGUAAUAGCCCACCAAGCCAACGAUCAGUAACUGGUGUGAGAGCACGACCAGUCACACGGGCACUGAGACACGGGCCCGACUCCUACGGGAGCAGCAGUAAGGAAUAUUGGUCAAUGGACGCAAGUCUGAACCAGCCAUGCCGCGUGAA